AGUGAACGCUGGCGGUAGGCCUAACACAUGCAAGUCGAACGGCAGCACAGUAAGAGCUUGCUCUUACGGGUGGCGCGUGGCGGACGGGUGAGGAAUACAUCGGAAUCUACUUUUUCGUGGGGGAUAACGUAGGGAAACUUACGCUAAUACCGCAUACGACCUACGGGUGAAAGCAGGGGAUCUUCGGACCUUGCGCGAUUGAAUGAGCCGAUGUCGGAUUAGCUAGUUGGCGGGGUAAAGGCCCACCAAGGCGACGAUCCGUAGCUGGUCUGAGAGGAUGAUCAGCCACACUGGAACUGAGACACGGUCCAGACUCCUACGGGAGGCAGCAGUGGGGAAUAUUGGACAAUGGGCGCAAGCCUGAUCCAGCCAUACCGCGUGGGUGAAGAAGGCCUUCGGGCUGUAAAGCCCUUUUGUUGGGAAAGAAAAGCAGCAGGUUAAUACCCCGCUGUUCUGACGGUACCCAAAGAAUAAGCACCGGCUAACUUCGUG
This 492-nucleotide ribosomal RNA is filed under the name uncultured bacterium. RNAcentral describes it as "partial 16S ribosomal RNA". It matches the Rfam family "Bacterial small subunit ribosomal RNA", at positions 29 to 507 of the family's 1533-position model. The record is from RNAcentral.